CCAAAAGUGAAACAUUUAUCCAAGUGAGGUGACAGGUGGGUUUCCUGCUGUCCAAGUGAUGUCCACGGCAGCUGCAUGUCUCAGUCAGGUCCUUAGGAUGAGGUUAUCUGUGGCUCACUCGCUGCCUGUGCCCGCCGUCCCGGGCCCCGCCUCAAGCGUGGCGAGCUGCAGACGCACUCGGCGGGAGCCGGAGGCGGACGGCUGGGGCGUGCGGGCCGCUCUGCGCGCUGAGCGGGCAAUCGCCGAAGGCCGCAGGCCAUAGUCGCGCUCCAGCUCCUGGCGCGAGAUCUCGAUGUUGCCGGUGUACCAGAGAAUCCAGCCCAGCAGGCUCAGGAAAACCAGCAGCGCCCCGGAGUAGAUGAGCAGGUCCCCGAAGUCGCGGCCG
Molecule: long non-coding RNA, 385 nt
Filed under: Rattus norvegicus (Norway rat)
Lineage: Eukaryota; Metazoa; Chordata; Mammalia; Rodentia; Muridae
Description: long non-coding RNA NONRATT000352
Source: RNAcentral